AAUGAUAUUAGACCGUCGGGUCCU
Molecule: non-coding RNA, 24 nt
Filed under: Arabidopsis thaliana (thale cress)
Lineage: Eukaryota; Viridiplantae; Streptophyta; Magnoliopsida; Brassicales; Brassicaceae
Source: RNAcentral